UGUUUGGAGAGUUUGAUCCUGGCUCAGGACGAACGCUGGCGGCGUGCUUAACACAUGCAAGUCGAACGGUGAAGGGACCUGCUUUUGUGGGUCCUGGAUGAGUGGCGAACGGGUGAGUAACACGUGAGUAACCUGCCCCCUUCUUCUGGAUAACCGCAUGAAAGUGUGGCUAAUACGGGAUAUUCUGUGCCUGCUGCAUGGUGGGUGUGGGAAAGAUGCGCCUUUGGGUGUUUUUGGUGGGGGAUGGGCUCGCGGCCUAUCAGCUUGUUGGUGGGGUGAUGGCCUACCAAGGCGGUGACGGGUAGCCGGCCUGAGAGGGUGGACGGUCACACUGGGACUGAGACACGGCCCAGACUCCUACGGGAGGCAGCAGUGGGGAAUAUUGCACAAUGGGCGCAAGCCUGAUGCAGCGACGCCGCGUGAGGGAUGGAGGCCUUCGGGUUGUAAACCUCUUUCGCCAGUGAAGCAGGCCUGUCCCUUUUGUGGGUGGGUUGACGGUAGCUGGAUAAGAAGCGCCGGCUAACUACGUGCCAGCAGCCGCGGUAAUACGUAGGGCGCGAGCGUUGUCCGGAAUUAUUGGGCGUAAAGAGCUCGUAGGCGGCUGGUCGCGUCUGUCGUGAAAUCCUCUGGCUUAACUGGGGGCUUGCGGUGGGUACGGGCCGGCUUGAGUGCGGUAGGGGAGACUGGAACUCCUGGUGUAGCGGUGGAAUGCGCAGAUAUCAGGAAGAACACCGGUGGCGAAGGCGGGUCUCUGGGCCGUUACUGACGCUGAGGAGCGAAAGCGUGGGGAGCGAACAGGAUUAGAUACCCUGGUAGUCCACGCCGUAAACGUUGGGCACUAGGUGUGGGGGGCCUUUUCCGGGUCUUCCGCGCCGUAGCUAACGCAUUAAGUGCCCCGCCUGGGGAGUACGGCCGCAAGGCUAAAACUCAAAGGAAUUGACGGGGGCCCGCACAAGCGGCGGAGCAUGCGGAUUAAUUCGAUGCAACGCGAAGAACCUUACCAAGGCUUGACAUGUGC
RNAcentral lists this ribosomal RNA (1018 nucleotides) under Actinomyces oris. Its description in RNAcentral is "bacterial SSU rRNA". It matches the Rfam family "Bacterial small subunit ribosomal RNA", at positions 1 to 991 of the family's 1533-position model. The record is from RNAcentral. Lineage: Bacteria; Bacillati; Actinomycetota; Actinomycetes; Actinomycetales; Actinomycetaceae.